GCAUCCCAACCAUGCCUUUACAGUCAAGGUUUCUGACGGAGCUGAGUUUUUCUCUGACAGUCUGCUGAAAGUGUUUGCAAAGUGAUCGGGGGAACAGGGCACAAAGCUAAAGGAUGUAGCGGCCAUAAUGACAGAUGACAUUAAUGCUCGGAGUCCCUCAUCAAAGUGCUCCGCAUCUGUGUGAAAGACAAUUGCAACAUCUUGGUGCAGGAGUUCAUGGACUUGACUGAGGCCACUGCACAGAUUGAGAAAACCACAAUGAACAUCUGUCUCCAGAGGAUGCACCAGGCAAUGACUUUUCUGAUGUUGUUCUUCAAGAUCUGGAUAACGUGACCUUUGCAGUAGCCAUGCUGUUUGGACCUUUUUUAUUCCUUCAACAUGAGUUACCC
Long non-coding RNA from Astatotilapia calliptera (eastern happy), 389 nucleotides. NCBI's taxonomy places the organism in Eukaryota, Metazoa, Chordata, Actinopteri, Cichliformes, Cichlidae. The record is from Ensembl.